Non-coding RNA from Felis catus (domestic cat), 85 nucleotides. The record is from Rfam. Lineage: Eukaryota; Metazoa; Chordata; Mammalia; Carnivora; Felidae.
GCCUGGGUGGCUCAGUCGGUUGAGCGUCUGACUUCAGCUCAGGUCAUGAUCUCGCGGUCCGUGAGUUCAAGCCCCACGUCAGGCU